Molecule: ribosomal RNA, 507 nt
Filed under: uncultured bacterium
Lineage: Bacteria
Description: bacterial SSU rRNA
Rfam family: Bacterial small subunit ribosomal RNA
Source: RNAcentral
GAUGAACGCUAGCUACAGGCUUAACACAUGCAAGUCGAGGGGAAACGAUAGAGAAAGCUUGCUUUUUCUAGGCGUCGACCGGCGCACGGGUGAGUAACGCGUAUCCAACCUGCCCAUCACUUGGGGAUAACCUUGCGAAAGUAAGACUAAUACCCAAUGACGUCUCUAGAAGACAUCUGAAGGAGAUUAAAGAUUUAUCGGUGAUGGAUGGGGAUGCGUCUGAUUAGCUUGUUGGCGGGGUAACGGCCCACCAAGGCGACGAUCAGUAGGGGUUCUGAGAGGAAGGCCCCCCACAUUGGAACUGAGACACGGUCCAAACUCCUACGGGGGGCAGCAGUGAGGAAUAUUGGUCAAUGGACGAGAGUCUGAACCAGCCAAGUAGCGUGCAGGAUGACGGCCCUAUGGGUUGUAAACUGCUUUUAUAAGGGAAUAAAAGUGAGUCUCGUGAGACUUUUUUGCAUGUACCUUAUGAAUAAGGACGGCUAAUUCCGUGCCAGCAGCCGACGG